GGAGAGGAAGCUUUGUAGUCUGGUCAGAGGAACGUAGUUGGUGUCACUUGUGGGAACUGCGGCUCAGUCUGUAAGUUACCUCGGACUCAGGCUGCCAUCGGCACCGGGUAGCCCAACCUAAGCCUCUCCCAACCAUGGCAGUUCCCGAGACUCGCCCCAACCACACUAUUUAUAUCAACAACCUCAAUGAGAAGAUCAAGAAGGAUGAGCUGAAAAAGUCCCUGUACGCCAUCUUCUCCCAGUUUGGCCAGAUCCUGGAUAUUCUGGUGUCCCGGAGCCUGAAGAUGAGGGGCCAGGCUUUUGUCAUCUUUAAGGAAGUGAGCAGUGCUACCAACGCCUUGCGCUCCAUGCAGGGUUUUCCGUUCUAUGACAAGCCCAUGCGUAUCCAAUAUGCCAAGACAGACUCGGACAUCAUUGCCAAGAUGAAGGGCACCUUUGUAGAGCGGGACCGCAAGCGGGAGAAGAGGAAGCCCAAGAGCCAGGAGACCCCAUCUGCCAAGAAGGCCGUGCAGGGCGGGGCGGCUGCCCCUGUGGUGGGAGCUGUCCAGGGGCCUGUUCCGGGUAUGCCGCCAAUGACUCAGGCACCUCGCAUCAUGCACCACAUGCCAGGCCAGCCUCCUUACAUGCCGCCUCCUGGCAUGAUCCCGCCGCCAGGCCUUGCACCCGGCCAGAUCCCCCCGGGAGCCAUGCCUCCUCAGCAGCUCAUGCCAGGGCAGAUGCCACCUGCCCAGCCUCUUUCUGAGAAUCCACCCAAUCACAUCCUGUUCCUCACCAACCUGCCCGAAGAGACAAACGAGCUCAUGCUGUCCAUGCUUUUCAACCAGUUCCCUGGCUUCAAGGAGGUCCGUCUGGUCCCUGGGCGGCAUGAUAUUGCCUUUGUGGAGUUUGACAAUGAGGUACAGGCAGGGGCAGCUCGCGAUGCCCUGCAGGGCUUUAAGAUCACCCAGAACAAUGCCAUGAAGAUCUCCUUUGCCAAGAAGUAGCACCUUUCCCCAACCCCCGGGACUGCCCCAGUCCCCAUUCUGGGGCCACCCUCCCCCCUUGGCUCAGUCCCUGAAGAUAUUCACACUUGUGAAAUCCCCUUGUCUUGAGCGUGAGCUGGACCUAGUGACCUGCUUCAGAUAAGUAUAGCAGUCCUCCUUUUCUGUGGGGGCUACGAUUGUUCUAAAACCCUCUAGUUGUGUGCCCGAACCCACAGGUUGUACAGAAGCUGACAAUGCUCUUUCCAUCUCACCAUGCGUUGUGGCUAUAACCUUUGCAGUUUGAAGUGUGACUGCAAAACUAGUGUGAAUUGUUUGUCCUUCACAAUUUCACAGAUUUGUUUUUAUUGUAGAUCUUAGCAACCUCAACCGAGGAUUUUUUUUUCCUUAUUGAGAACUUUCACCUUUUUACAAAAACUAAGCAUUUUACAGUUGUGUGUGUGCAUGUGUGUGUGUGCAUGUGCAGGGGUACUGGGGCUUCACUCCACCAGGCCCUUUUUCUUGUGAUGGGUUUUUUUGAGAUAAAGUAUU
Castor canadensis (American beaver) is the source of this 1511-nucleotide non-coding RNA. The record is from RefSeq and is a predicted model, not a curated record. NCBI's taxonomy places the organism in Eukaryota, Metazoa, Chordata, Mammalia, Rodentia, Castoridae.